AGUGAACGCUGGCGGCAGGCCUAACACAUGCAAGUCGAACGGAAGCACAGUAAGAGCUCGCUCUUACGGGUGGCGACUGGCGGACGGGUGAGGAAUACAUCGGAAUCCACUUUUUCGGGGGGGAUAACGUAGGGAAACUUACGCUAAUACCGCAUAUGACCUACGGGUGAAAGCAGGGGAUCUUCGGACUUUUCGCGAUCCUAUGAGCUGAUGUCGGAUUAGCUAGUUGGCGGGGUAAAGGCCCACCAAGGCGACGAUCCGUAGCUGGUCUGAGAGGAUGAUCAGCCACACUGGAACUGAGACACGGUCCAGACUCCUACGGGAGGCAGCAGUAGGGAAUAUUGGACAAUGGGCGAAAGCCUGAUCCAGCCAUGCCGCGUGAGUGAAGAAGGGCUUCGGAUUGUAAAACCCUUUUAUUGGGGAAGAAAAGCAGCAGGUUAAUACCUCGCUGUUCUGACGGUACCCAAAGAAUAAGCACCGGCUAACUUCGUG
Molecule: ribosomal RNA, 492 nt
Filed under: uncultured bacterium
Lineage: Bacteria
Description: partial 16S ribosomal RNA
Rfam family: Bacterial small subunit ribosomal RNA
Source: RNAcentral